AGCAGCCGCGGUAAUUCCAGCUCCAAUAGCGUAUAUUAAAGUUGUUGCAGUUAAAAAGCUCGUAGUUGAAUUUCGGGAUCAAGGAAUCGGUCAUGCCUUGGUAUGUACUGGUUUUAUUGGUUCUCACCUUCUAAAGAACCAUAAUGUCAUUUAUUUGAUGUUAUGGGGAAUUAGGACUGUUACCUUGAAAAAAUUAGAGUGUUUAAAGCAAGCUUACGCUUGAAUACAUUAGCAUGGAAUAAUGAAAUAGGACAUCAGAUUCUAUUUUGUUGGUUUCUGGGAUCGAUGUAAUGAUUAAUAGGGAUAGUUGGGGGCAUUAGUAUUCAAUUGUCAGAGGUGAAAUUCUUGGAUUUAUUGAAGACUAACUACUGCGAAAGCAUUUGCCAAGGAUGUUUUCAUUAAUCAAGAACGAAAGUUAGGGGAUCGAAGACGAUCAGAUACCGUCGUAGUCUUAACCAUAAACUAUGCCGACUAGGGAUCGGAUGAUGUUAAUUUUUAAUGACUCAUUCGGCUACCG
RNAcentral lists this unclassified non-coding RNA (517 nucleotides) under uncultured Glomus. Its description in RNAcentral is "SSU rRNA". It matches the Rfam family "Eukaryotic small subunit ribosomal RNA", at positions 569 to 1089 of the family's 1831-position model. The record is from RNAcentral. Lineage: Eukaryota; Fungi; Glomeromycota; Glomeromycetes; Glomerales; Glomeraceae.